This 234-nucleotide long non-coding RNA is filed under the name Nicotiana benthamiana. RNAcentral describes it as "long non-coding RNA (NBEN_LNC031794)". The record is from RNAcentral. Lineage: Eukaryota; Viridiplantae; Streptophyta; Magnoliopsida; Solanales; Solanaceae.
GUACCCAAGGUCUCUAUGACGCUCUGAAUGCCCCAACUCCCCUAGCUCUAUGCUCCGAUCCCCCUCCUCGUUAAGAAGUUCCCGGAAGUACGCCUGCUACCUCUGUUUGAUUUGCGAUUCCCCCAUCAGACUCUACCAUCCUCGUCCUUGAUACACCUGACCUGGUCUACAUCACGAGCUUUCCUUUCCCUUGCUUUAGCCAGCCGGAAUAACUUCUUAUCCCCACCUCUCUCC